RNAcentral lists this ribosomal RNA (449 nucleotides) under uncultured bacterium. Its description in RNAcentral is "partial 16S ribosomal RNA". It matches the Rfam family "Bacterial small subunit ribosomal RNA", at positions 354 to 796 of the family's 1533-position model. The record is from RNAcentral.
GUGGGGAAUAUUGGACAAUGGGCGAAAGCCUGAUCCAGCCAUGCCGCGUGUGUGAAGAAGGUCUUCGGAUUGUAAAGCACUUUAAGUUGGGAGGAAGGGCAGUAAGCUAAUACCUUGCUGUUUUGACGUUACCGACAGAAUAAGCACCGGCUAACUCUGUGCCAGCAGCCGCGGUAAUACAGAGGGUGCAAGCGUUAAUCGGAAUUACUGGGCGUAAAGCGCGCGUAGGUGGUUCGUUAAGUUGGAUGUGAAAGCCCCGGGCUCAACCGGGAACUGCAUCCAAAACUGGCGAGCUAGAGUACGGUAGAGGGUGGUGGAAUUUCCUGUGUAGCGGUGAAAUGCGUAGAUAUAGGAAGGAACACCAGUGGCGAAGGCGACCACCUGGACUGAUACUGACACUGAGGUGCGAAAGCGUGGGGAGCAAACAGGAUUAGAUACCCUAGUAGUCC